GCUCGUCGACAGGCAGGAACGCGGGCUCGCCUCUCAACGCGGUUACCUCAGUGUUGGGGUUGUGGGCGCGAGACGCCCCUCGCCCCCGGUGUUCGGGUUGCGGGCCUCAGGCGGGCGUCGGUCCACGGCGACCCCGCAGGCCCUGGUCUGGUGUCCGCGCGGACGCUGAGGCUUCGGGGUGCGCUGGGCUUUUGCUGGGGCGGGCGGGGGGCGUGCACACGCUUUCUCCCCAGCACGCGUGGGCCUUUAUGCGUGGGGCUUUUCACGACUCUCGGGAGUUAGCUGGACACCCUGGGCACCUUUGGACGUCCUUCGUAGACGCGCUGUGACGUGUGUGUUAGCCCAUGUGCUUUUCAAAAUAGCCUUGGAAGGAGCUCCAGCAGCCAUUUCAGACCGUGGGGUGACCUUGGGAAGUGCGAGGACAGACAUGAGGGAACAAGACGUCCGGAGGCUUGGGGGCUGGUGGAACUGAACUGAGACCCCCCACACACACACCCCGAGAAUCCUGAGGGAGCUGAUCCCCAGUGUCGGCGGGAAGCGUAUCUGCCAGGUGCGACGGGGGACUGUAGUGGACGCGAGUACCCGCCCCUCCCUUGUCCGCAGAGGGCCACCUUCCUAGGUCAGAAAUAAUGGACAGUGGAUGGCUACCAACAGACCACUGAAAGCCAUGAAGUCUCUUCGGUUGCCUGCAAAAAAAGCCUCAUCUCCUGCACUGAGACAAUAAAGACAAGGGCCAGGCUCAAGAAUUAGUAUCUCAAAGAUGGUUGGGUGUGUUAACUACACCAAUCAGAGAAGGGCAGACCCAGCACCGAGGGAGGAGCCCAGCGUUACCUGGAGAGCCUGCUUCACUGAGACACGACACCUGGAGAGCCUGCAUCACUGAGAUACGACACCUCGCGGGCCUUCUUUGGUAUGAAGAAUGUUUGGCCCACAUCAGGCAGGUGCAUUUUGGUAACUAAGUAUGGGUGGGUGAGAACAAAUUCUUCGUAGCCAAAGGGUCACCUGCCA
Long non-coding RNA from Mesoplodon densirostris (Blainville's beaked whale), 1008 nucleotides. RefSeq lists it as uncharacterized. The transcript is spliced from 3 exons. The record is from RefSeq and is a predicted model, not a curated record. Lineage: Eukaryota; Metazoa; Chordata; Mammalia; Artiodactyla; Ziphiidae.